Molecule: ribosomal RNA, 220 nt
Filed under: uncultured bacterium
Lineage: Bacteria
Description: partial 16S ribosomal RNA
Rfam family: Bacterial small subunit ribosomal RNA
Source: RNAcentral
GACGAACGCUGGCGGCGUGCUUAACACAUGCAAGUCGAGCGGUAAGGCCCUUUCGGGGGUACGACGAGCGGCGAACGGGUGAGUAACACGUGGGUGACCUGCCCUCAGCUCUGGGAUAAGCCUGGGAAACCGGGUCUAAUACUGGAUAUGACUCCAUGACGCAUGUUGUGGGGUGGAAAGCCUUGUGCGGCUGAGGAUGGGCCCGCGGCCUAUCAGCUUG